This is a long non-coding RNA of Alligator mississippiensis (American alligator), 2533 nucleotides long. RefSeq lists it as uncharacterized. The transcript is spliced from 2 exons. The record is from RefSeq and is a predicted model, not a curated record. NCBI's taxonomy places the organism in Eukaryota, Metazoa, Chordata, Crocodylia, Alligatoridae.
ACGUGACACACGCACAGCGUGCUCUAUUCAUAGCCGGGGGAGAGGGAGCCGGCUCGGCGCUGGCGCUGAGGGUUGCGGCGUGGUCGGGGUGUGAGGGCAACCCCGGGCUCUGGCGUGACCGCGCGGCUGCUCCGGCAUGUGAUGAGACCGCCUGCGCCUCGGGACGGGGGUGGAUUUGCUGCUUCUAAUAGCUUUAAACAUCAGCUGCACCGUGAGAGCCCCCCCACAACACACACACGUGCAAGGGCCGUGGAGGAGGUUGUGAGAGGCGCGAUGGUCACGGGGCUCCAGGGCUGGGAAAUGAAUUGCAGGUUCCCCCACCACCACCACCCUACGAGCGACUUUACACGUGGGGGAAGCCUGCCUGUCGGCCCUGCAGGGUGAUGGGGUCAAGUGAGCAGGGAGCUGUUGCUCACCAAUCGCUAGGAGGAGACACCUGCUGAGAGUAGGGGAUGGUUUAAAACCUAAACAGGGAAAGGACAUUUGUUACCUAAUGCUUAGUUAAAUUUGUGGAAUUCGUUGCCACAGGCAGUGGUGGAGGCAGAGAGCAUAGCCAGGCUGAGGAAGGGCCUGGAUACACUUCUGGAUGGUAGAUCUCUUAAUGGUUACUGAGCAGAAUGAUUGGAAAUGUUUUCUCUGGCAUCUCUAAACCUAUAAUGGCAGAUGCCAGGGAGGAUACCAAAUGGGAGAUGGAUCACUAGAGAUACCCGAUUCAAUGCUCUCCUUCUGCAGCAGGGGUGGCCAGAGUUACUCACCCUGGGAGCCACAUCCAAUCCAGCACAGAAAGUUGCGGGGGGGAGAGGGGUGCUGAGUGACUGGGAGUGGAAGUGACCACCCCCUCCCUGCAUUGCUAGGCCACUCCAGCUUUCCCUGUGGGGAGCAUGCCCUGGGGCAAGCAACCUGGUGCCUGAGCCGGCAGUCUCGGAGGGAGAGAAGGAGGGUGGGCUCCCUGUGGGGAAAGUCAAAGCAGCAGGAGAUGCCAGGCUGCUCUGUCCCUUGGAGCCACUUUGGGGAGAACUGAGCGGGGCUUCGGCCAAUUUCCAGAGAGCCACAAGUACCGUGCCAGCAAGCUGCUUGUGAGCUGCAGUUUGGCCACCUAUGCUCUAUAGCAACCAUUUGUGCUGCUGUCAGAGACAGAUUACUGCACUAGAUGGACUGCUGGUCUGACCCAGUAUGACACUUCUUAUGUUCUUAACCUCUGUGCAGAACAAGGUCUCUCUGAUUCUUAUAUGGACCCAGAGCCAGCCUUAAGGAAAAUGGUGCCCUGAACGAACUUGUAUUUUGAUGCCUUCCCCCAGCACUCUCCUGAAGUCAGCGGUGCUGCUGAAGGCAGGGGUGCAGGGAACAGUCUGUCAGGGAGGCAGAGCGGCAUGGUGCAUCAUGCAGGUGGGCAGCUAUUCUGUAUCUCAUUUCUGAUAAACUUCCAUCUGGGUUCAGCAUCCAGUACUGCAUGGACAGGGAUCUCUUUAACAUCAACUGAUUACAUUCAAGUCCAAGAUACCAGUGCCUCCAUUACUGAUCUUCAGUAUGCUGUCAAUUGUGUCAUGUGUGCCCACUGAGUUGAACAGUUCCAGUUACUCUUAAUUACUUCUGCAAAGAAUAUAAAAUGCUAGGACUUACUGUCAGCUUCACAAAAAUCAAGCUCCUUACUGACCCACCCAAACCAACCAUCUGCUCUUCCACAUACUACAAUUAGAGGGAAACCCUUGGAGAAUGUUGAGAAUUCUCUCUGCCUAGCCACCAUUCCCAAAAAGAAAAUACAGACUAUGAUAUUCAAUGCUGGAUAAAAUAUGUCACUACUGCCUUUAGACAUCCCUGAAACUGUGUCUUGGACGAUCGUGACAUCAGACUGGAAUCAAACUUCUCAUCUACCAGGCUCUUGUCCUACCCUAUUAUAUGGGUGUGAAAUUUGGAUGAUAUAUCAGAAGCUUUGGAAAAUGACUAUCAGCAAUCUCUGUAAAAUCCUCCAUGUCGGCUGAAAGGACAGAAGACUCAAUGCCAGCAACCACCAGCUCAAGCAACCACCACUAGCAUUGAAACUAUAUUUAUAUGGUAUCAGCUGUGUUGGACAGGGUGUGUCAUAAGGAUGCCUAACAAACCAUCUUCCUAAACAGGUCUUAUACUCCCAACUGACUGAAGCUCAUCACUCUAGAGGUGGGCAAAAAAGAGGUUCAAGGACAUCAUGAAGGUCAAUCCAAAGAAGUGUGAUACUAACAUCAGUACAUGGGAGAUUCAAGCACUGACUUGUCCUAAAGUAUGCCACAAUGUACAAGGCAUCAAUCAUUUCAAGAAAACUUGCCUCACAAUGGAGGUACGUAGUUGAGAGAGACAAAAGAAAGGAGCUAUUAUCCAACAUCACUAGGAUCUACUCCUUUGCAGAACUAUUUACCACAUCUGUAGUCAAACAUGCAAAUUUUGGAUUGGCCGCCUCAGUCAUCUAUGUACUCACCAAUGUCUUCCCAAUUUACUGGAAGACUGUCAUCAAAGGACUGCUGCUGCUGAUUAGUUGUUAUUAUAAAAGCUAUUUUUUUUA